CUAAGCUCAAUCUCCCUACCCAAAUACCCAUUACCCUUUGCCCUACUCCUACAUAUAAAAAGACAUUUUAACCACCACAAAAAUCAGACCCCUUACCCUGAAAAAGACAUAACAACGGCGCAUUCAUGACUUCUUCUUCUUCUCCUCCAUUUUUCAUUUUAUAGACACUCCUCAGUCCCUGAUAAAAAGAAAAGAAAAACCACACCUGAACCCCUCCCUCAUCUCACUCAUCUGCACCUCACUCUCCCUUUCACAUAUAUAAAAAAUCAAAACAAAAAAAAAAACUUUUAGAUUCGAAAAUGGCGUCCCAAAUCAGAAAAUCCGAAAAUAAAAAAUGAAAAAAAAACUGGAAUUUUCAACGGAGAUUUGGAGAAGAACUGAUUUCAGAGCAAGAUUUCCUUUCUUUCCGGAUUUCUGAAAGUGGAUCCGGAGCCGUGGGUUUGCCGUUUGAUUUCCGCUAAUUUUUCUGUUUAUUUUUCUGGAAUUGCUGAGCGUUGUUCUUCAAGUUUCUGUGCCUUUAUUUGGCCAUUUCAGUUUAUUCCAAGCAUAGGUAAACAUCAUAAACUUGUAUGACUUUGGGUUUUUGCAUAAUAAAAAUUCUAUGUUUCCUUCUAUGAAUUCCAUUUUUGUAUGACUGUGUUCAUCUAACUUGUUAUGUUUAAGUAUGUUGCAAGGUGUUUGAAAAAUGCUCAAGUGUUAACAACAAAGUAGUUUAAAUCCAAUGAAGAUGCUUAGUUUUCUUUGGAACUCAGAAUUAGUUUAUUGAUGAGGGCAUCAAUAAUGAAUUUAGUUUUAUUUGCCUCUUAGAUAU
This 811-nucleotide long non-coding RNA is filed under the name Nicotiana benthamiana. RNAcentral describes it as "long non-coding RNA (NBEN_LNC018215)". Lineage: Eukaryota; Viridiplantae; Streptophyta; Magnoliopsida; Solanales; Solanaceae. The record is from RNAcentral.